Molecule: ribosomal RNA, 985 nt
Filed under: Acinetobacter sp. IPPW-23
Lineage: Bacteria; Pseudomonadati; Pseudomonadota; Gammaproteobacteria; Moraxellales; Moraxellaceae
Description: bacterial SSU rRNA
Rfam family: Bacterial small subunit ribosomal RNA
Source: RNAcentral
AUGCAAGUCGAGCGGAGCGAGGGUGCUUGCACCUUAGCUUAGCGGCGGACGGGUGAGUAAUGCUUAGGAAUCUGCCUAUUAGUGGGGGACAACAUUCCGAAAGGAAUGCUAAUACCGCAUACGCCCUACGGGGGAAAGCAGGGGAUCUUCGGACCUUGCGCUAAUAGAUGAGCCUAAGUCGGAUUAGCUAGUUGGUGGGGUAAAGGCCUACCAAGGCGACGAUCUGUAGCGGGUCUGAGAGGAUGAUCCGCCACACUGGGACUGAGACACGGCCCAGACUCCUACGGGAGGCAGCAGUGGGGAAUAUUGGACAAUGGGCGGAAGCCUGAUCCAGCCAUGCCGCGUGUGUGAAGAAGGCCUUUUGGUUGUAAAGCACUUUAAGCGAGGAGGAGGCUACUUAGAUUAAUACUCUAGGAUAGUGGACGUUACUCGCAGAAUAAGCACCGGCUAACUCUGUGCCAGCAGCCGCGGUAAUACAGAGGGUGCGAGCGUUAAUCGGAUUUACUGGGCGUAAAGCGUGCGUAGGCGGCUUUUUAAGUCGGAUGUGAAAUCCCCGAGCUUAACUUGGGAAUUGCAUUCGAUACUGGGAAGCUAGAGUAUGGGAGAGGAUGGUAGAAUUCCAGGUGUAGCGGUGAAAUGCGUAGAGAUCUGGAGGAAUACCGAUGGCGAAGGCAGCCAUCUGGCCUAAUACUGACGCUGAGGUACGAAAGCAUGGGGAGCAAACAGGAUUAGAUACCCUGGUAGUCCAUGCCGUAAACGAUGUCUACUAGCCGUUGGGGCCUUUGAGGCUUUAGUGGCGCAGCUAACGCGAUAAGUAGACCGCCUGGGGAGUACGGUCGCAAGACUAAAACUCAAAUGAAUUGACGGGGGCCCGCACAAGCGGUGGAGCAUGUGGUUUAAUUCGAUGCAACGCGAAGAACCUUACCUGGUCUUGACAUACAGAGAACUUUCCAGAGAUGGAUUGGUGCCUUCGGGAACUCUGAUA